Molecule: ribosomal RNA, 552 nt
Filed under: Triticum aestivum (bread wheat)
Lineage: Eukaryota; Viridiplantae; Streptophyta; Magnoliopsida; Poales; Poaceae
Description: partial small subunit ribosomal RNA
Source: RNAcentral
AUGAGGGAGUUCCUGAUAGAGAAGGUCUUGCCAGCAAUACAAGCUGUUUGGCCCGAAGGUGAUGCUGGACAGACCAUCUACAUUCAGCAGGAUCAUGCUAAGUCCCAUAUCUUGCCAGAUGACCCGGAAUUUCUAGAAGCUGUCGCAAAAACUGGACUUGACAUCAGAAUAAUACAACAACCUGCCAACAGUCCUGAUUUGAAUGUGCUUGACCUUGGGUUUUUCAACUCGCUGCAAUCCCUAACAAAUUGUCUGAGUCCUAAAACACCACAAGACCUUAUUAAGGGUGUUUUGGAGGAAUUUGAAGGCUAUGAGGUUUACAAGCUCAACAACAUUUUCCCAACUCUACAAAUGUGCAUGAUCGAGAUCCUGAACCAUGCAGGGGGCAAUGGGUACAAAACACCCCAUGUAAACAAGGAAAGGCUUGAGGGUCUUGGGCAGCUACCUCCAAGACUAUCCUGCCCUCAAGAGGUUUACACAAGUGCUAGUGAUGCUUGUGAUGAGGCUCUCAUGCUUGUGAUGAUGCUUGUGAUGCUUGUGAUGAGGCUCUGA